RNAcentral lists this transfer RNA (72 nucleotides) under Bos taurus (domestic cattle). It matches the Rfam family "tRNA". Rfam says of the family: Transfer RNA (tRNA) molecules are approximately 80 nucleotides in length. Their secondary structure includes four short double-helical elements and three loops (D, anti-codon, and T loops). Further hydrogen bonds mediate the characteristic L-shaped molecular structure. tRNAs have two regions of fundamental functional importance: the anti-codon, which is responsible for specific mRNA codon recognition, and the 3' end, to which the tRNAs corresponding amino acid is attached (by aminoacyl-tRNA synthetases). tRNAs cope with the degeneracy of the genetic code in two manners: having more than one tRNA (with a specific anti-codon) for a particular amino acid; and 'wobble' base-pairing, i.e. permitting non-standard base-pairing at the 3rd anti-codon position. Lineage: Eukaryota; Metazoa; Chordata; Mammalia; Artiodactyla; Bovidae. RNAcentral also lists the same sequence under 4 other names. The record is from Rfam by way of RNAcentral.
UCCCUGCCGGCUAAGACGGUAAAGAAUUUGCCUGCAAUGCAGGAGACCUGGGUUCGAUCCCUAGGUAGGGAA